This 467-nucleotide ribosomal RNA is filed under the name uncultured bacterium. RNAcentral's name for it is "partial 16S ribosomal RNA". It matches the Rfam family "Bacterial small subunit ribosomal RNA", at positions 28 to 506 of the family's 1533-position model. The record is from RNAcentral.
GACGAACGCUGGCGGCGUGCUUAACACAUGCAAGUCGAACGGAAAGGCCCUGCUUUUGUGGGGUGCUCGAGUGGCGAACGGGUGAGUAACACGUGAGUAACCUGCCCUUGACUUUGGGAUAACUUCAGGAAACUGGGGCUAAUACCGGAUAGGAGCUCCUGCUGCAUGGUGGGGGUUGGAAAGUUUCGGCGGUUGGGGAUGGACUCGCGGCUUAUCAGCUUGUUGGUGGGGUAGUGGCUUACCAAGGCUUUGACGGGUAGCCGGCCUGAGAGGGUGACCGGCCACAGUGGGACUGAGAUACGGCCCAGGCUCCUACGGGAGGCAGCAGUGGGGAAUAUUGCACAAUGGGCGGAGGCCUGAUGCAGCAACGCCGCGUGCGGGAUGACGGCCUUCGGGUUGUAAACCGCUUUCGCCUGUGACGAAGCGUGAGUGACGGUAAUGGGUAAAGAAGCACCGGCUAACUACGU